UACGAAGGGUGCGAGCGUUGUUCGGAAUUAUUGGGCGUAAAGGGUUCGUAGGCGGGAGAGCAAGUCAAGUGUGAAAUGUCCGGGCUUAACCUGGAGAGUGCAUUUGAAACUGUUUUUCUUGAGUGUUGGAGAGGGUAGUGGAAUUGCUGGUGUAGGAGUGACAUCCGUAGAGAUCAGCAGGAACAUCGGAGGCGAAGGCGACUACCUGGCCAAUAACUGACGCUGAGGAACGAAAGCAUGGGGAGCAAACAGG
RNAcentral lists this ribosomal RNA (253 nucleotides) under uncultured bacterium. Its description in RNAcentral is "partial 16S ribosomal RNA". It matches the Rfam family "Bacterial small subunit ribosomal RNA", at positions 524 to 776 of the family's 1533-position model. The record is from RNAcentral.